This 443-nucleotide ribosomal RNA is filed under the name uncultured bacterium. RNAcentral describes it as "partial 16S ribosomal RNA". It matches the Rfam family "Bacterial small subunit ribosomal RNA", at positions 338 to 795 of the family's 1533-position model. The record is from RNAcentral.
CCUACGGGGGGCAGCAGUGGGGAAUCUUCGGCAAUGGGCGCAAGCCUGACCCAGCAACGCCGCGUGAAGGAAGAAGGCCCUCGGGUCGUAAACUUCUUUUGUCAGGGACGAAGCAAGUGACGGUACCUGACGAAUAAGCCACGGCUAACUACGUGCCAGCAGCCGCGGUAAUACGUAGGUGGCAAGCGUUAUCCGGAUUUACUGGGUGUAAAGGGCGUGUAGGCGGGUCUUUAAGCGUGCCGUGAAAUUUUGUGGCUCAACCUUGAGAGUGCGGCGCGAACUGGAGACCUUGAGUGCGCGGAAGGCGGGCGGAAUUCGUGGUGUAGCGGUGAAAUGCUUAGAUAUCACGAAGAACCCCGAUGGCGAAGGCAGCCUGCCGCAGCGUUACUGACGCUGAAGCUCGAAAGCGCGGGUAGCGAACAGGAUUAGAUACCCGAGUAGUC